Lonchura striata (white-rumped munia) is the source of this 416-nucleotide non-coding RNA. NCBI's taxonomy places the organism in Eukaryota, Metazoa, Chordata, Aves, Passeriformes, Estrildidae. The record is from RefSeq and is a predicted model, not a curated record.
ACAGAGCCAUCCCAACUCAAUCAAUUUAUUAAGAUAUUGUGGCACAGUGUGUUCAUGCAGUGCUGUAAGAGAGUGGUUUGCAAACCCUGGAGGAGAGUCUGCAAGCAAGAUGAGAGCAAGGGUCCCAGCGGCUUUGUUCAAGAAAUGUCCGCUCAAUCAGUGUCACGGAGAGCAGCAGCAGAGGUACUUCGUUUCUGGGACAUUCAUCAUCUUCAUCUUAGGCCAUAUUAUCCUCCUCUCAAAUGAGUGGGCUGGCACAAGAGGCUUGAAGAUAGCACAACUCAGAUAGUUGACCCAAAUUGACCACAGGGAUAUUCCAUAAUGCACCAUGCUCAGCAAAAAAAAAAUCUCAGGAAGAGGAGGACAAGAAAAAAAAUGGAAAACAACAGAAUGAACUCCAAGGACAGAGAAGGAAG